AUUGAACGCUGGCGGAAUGCUUUACACAUGCAAGUCGAACGGUAGAGGGGCAACCCUUGAGAGUGGCGAACGGGUGAGUAAUGUAUCGGAACAUGCCCAGUCGUGGGGGAUAACGUAGCGAAAGUUACGCUAAUACCGCAUACGAUCUAUGGAUGAAAGCGGGGGAUCGCAAGACCUCGCGCGAUUGGAGUGGCCGAUAUCAGAUUAGGUAGUUGGUGGGGGAAAGGCCUACCAAGCCGACGAUCUGUAGCUGGUCUGAGAGGACGACCAGCCACACGGGGACUGAGACACGGCCCAGACUCCUACGGGAGGCAGCAGUGGGGAAUUUUGGACAAUGGGCGCAAGCCUGAUCCAGCCAUUCCGCGUGCAGGAAGAAGGCCUUCGGGUUGUAAACUGCUUUUGUACGGAACGAAACGCGCUGAGCUAAUACCUCGGCGUAAUGACGGUACCGUAAGAUUAAGCACCGGCUAACUACGUGCCAGCCGCCGCGGUAA
This 494-nucleotide ribosomal RNA is filed under the name uncultured bacterium. RNAcentral describes it as "partial 16S ribosomal RNA". It matches the Rfam family "Bacterial small subunit ribosomal RNA", at positions 30 to 523 of the family's 1533-position model. The record is from RNAcentral.